RNAcentral lists this ribosomal RNA (497 nucleotides) under uncultured bacterium. RNAcentral's name for it is "partial 16S ribosomal RNA". It matches the Rfam family "Bacterial small subunit ribosomal RNA", at positions 28 to 507 of the family's 1533-position model. The record is from RNAcentral.
GAUGAACGCUGGCGGCGUGCCUAAUACAUGCAAGUCGAGCGAACGGACGAGAAGCUUGCUUCUCUGAUGUUAGCGGCGGACGGGUGAGUAACACGUGGAUAACCUACCUAUAAGACUGGGAUAACUUCGGGAAACCGGAGCUAAUACCGGAUGAUAUUUUGAACCGCAUGGUUCAAAAGUGAAAGACGGUCUUGCUGUCACUUAUAGAUGGAUCCGCGCUGCAUUAGCUAGUUGGUAAGGUAACGGCUUACCUAGGCAACGAUGCAUAGCCGACCUGAGAGGGUGAUCGGCCACACUGGAACUGAGACACGGUCCAGACUCCUACGGGAGGCAGCAGUAGGGAAUCUUCCGCAAUGGGCGAAAGCCUGACGGAGCAACGCCGCGUGAGUGAUGAAGGUCUUCGGAUCGUAAAACUCUGUUAUUAGGGAAGAACAUAUGUGUAAGUAACUGUGCACAUCUUGACGGUACCUAAUCAGAAAGCCACGGCUAACUACGUG